UACGUAGGGUGCGAGCGUUAAUCGGAAUUACUGGGCGUAAAGCGUGCGCAGGCGGUUGAUUAAGUCUGAUGUGAAAGCCCCGGGCUCAACCUGGGAAUGGCAUUGGAAACUGGUCAGCUGGAGUGUGGCAGAGGGGGGUGGAAUUCCGCGUGUAGCAGUGAAAUGCGUAGAUAUGCGGAGGAACACCGAUGGCGAAGGCAAUCCCCUGGGCCUGCACUGACGCUCAUGCACGAAAGCGUGGGGAGCAAACAGG
RNAcentral lists this ribosomal RNA (253 nucleotides) under uncultured bacterium. RNAcentral's name for it is "partial 16S ribosomal RNA". It matches the Rfam family "Bacterial small subunit ribosomal RNA", at positions 524 to 776 of the family's 1533-position model. The record is from RNAcentral.